This 31-nucleotide small RNA is filed under the name Bombyx mori (domestic silkworm). RNAcentral's name for it is "ovarian small RNA-12548". The record is from RNAcentral. Lineage: Eukaryota; Metazoa; Arthropoda; Insecta; Lepidoptera; Bombycidae.
AUGAACUAAGUCGAUGCUACGCACCGCGCGC